RNAcentral lists this ribosomal RNA (458 nucleotides) under Hybomys univittatus (Peter's striped mouse). RNAcentral's name for it is "partial 16S ribosomal RNA". It matches the Rfam family "Bacterial large subunit ribosomal RNA", at positions 1919 to 2550 of the family's 2925-position model. Lineage: Eukaryota; Metazoa; Chordata; Mammalia; Rodentia; Muridae. The record is from RNAcentral.
AAAGUUAAACGGCCGCGGUAUCCUGACCGUGCAAAGGUAGCAUAAUCACUUGUUCCUUAAUUAGGGACUAGUAUGAAUGGCUAAACGAGGGUUUAACUGUCUCUUAUUCUUAAUCAGUGAAAUUGACCUUCCAGUGAAGAGGCUGGAAUAACAAAAUAAGACGAGAAGACCCUAUGGAGCUUCAAUUAACUAGCUUAAUUACUACAAUAACAAACCUAAUGGGCUAACAUAAAAAAACAUAAGCUAAAAAUUUCGGUUGGGGUGACCUCGGAGAAUAAAAAAUCCUCCGAAUGAUUAUAACUUAGACAAACAAGUCAAAGUAAAUCUUAUAAUCUUAUUGACCCAAAACUUUUUGAUCAACGGACCAAGUUACCCUAGGGAUAACAGCGCAAUCCUAUUUAAGAGUCCAUAUCGACAAUUAGGGUUUACGACCUCGAUGUUGGAUCAGGACAUCCCAA